AGUCGAGGGGCAGCAUUUUAGUUUGCUUGCAAACUAAAGAUGGCGACCGGCGCACGGGCUGAGCUAACACGCUAUCCAACCUGCCGAUAACUCGGGGAUAGCCUUUCGAAAGAAAGAUUAAUAUCCGAUAGUAUAUUAAAACCGCAUGGUUUUACUAUUAAAGAAUUUCGGUUAUCGAUGGGGAUGCGUUCCAUUAGUUUGUUGGCGGGGUAACGGCCCACCAAGACUACGAUGGAUAGGGGUUCUGAGAGGAAGGUCCCCCACAUUGGAACUGAGACACGGUCCAAACUCAUACGGGAGGCAGCAAUGAGGAAUAUUGGUCAAUGGACGAGAGUCUGAACCAGCCAAGUAGCGUGAAGGAUGACUGCCCUAUGGGUGGUAAACUUCUUUUAUAUGGGAAUAAAGUAUUCCACGUGUGGGAUUUUGUAUGUACCAUAUGAAUAAGGAUCGGCUAACUCCGUGCCAGCAGCCGCGGUAAUACGGAGGAUCCGAGCGUUAUCCGGAUUUAUUGGGUUUAAAGGGAGCGUAGGUGGAUUGUUAAGUCAGUUGUGAAAGUUUGCGGCUCAACCGUAAAAUUGCAGUUGAAACUGGCAGUCUUGAGUACAGUAGAGGUGGGCGGAAUUCGUGGUGUAGCGGUGAAAUGCUUAGAUAUCACGAAGAACUCCGAUUGCGAAGGCAGCUCACUAGACUGCAACUGACACUGAUGCUCGAAAGUGUGGGUAUCAAACAGGAUUAGAUACCCUGGUAGUCCACACAGUAAACGAUGAAUACUCGCUGUUUGCGAUAUACAGUAAGCGGCCAAGCGAAAGCAUUAAGUAUUCCACCUGGGGAGUACGCCGGCAACGGUGAAACUCAAAGGAAUUGACGGGGGCCCGCACAAGCGGAGGAACAUGUGGUUUNAAUUCGAUGAUACGCGAGGAACCUUACCCGGGCUUAAAUUGCAUUUGAAUAAUCUGGAAACAGGUUAGCCGCAAGGCAAAUGUGAAGGUGCUGCAUGGUUGUCGUCAGCUCGUGCCGUGAGGUGUCGGCUUAAGUGCCAUAACGAGCGCAACCCUUAUCUUUUAGUUACUAACAGGUCAUGCUGAGGACUCUAGAGAGACUGCCGUCGUAAGAUGUGAGGAAGGUGGGGAUGACGUCAAAUCAGCACGGCCCUUACGUCCGGGGCUACACACGUGUUACAAUGGGGGGUACAGAAGGCAGCUACCUGGCGACAGGAUGCUAAUCCCAAAAACCUCUCUCAGUUCGGAUCGAAGUCUGCAACCCGACUUCGUGAAGCUGGAUUCGCUAGUAAUCGCGCAUCAGCCAUGGCGCGGUGAAUACGUUCCCGGGCCUUGUACACACCGCCCGUCAAGCCAUGAAAGCCGGGGGUACCUGAAGUACGAACCGCAAGGAGCUCCUAGG
RNAcentral lists this ribosomal RNA (1401 nucleotides) under bacterium NLAE-zl-G385. RNAcentral describes it as "16S ribosomal RNA". It matches the Rfam family "Bacterial small subunit ribosomal RNA". The record is from RNAcentral.